AAUGAUCUCAUUAACAAACUAGUUCUGUGCGUCCUUAACACUGAGGCCCCUCGCCUGCAGCUGGAGGCAGCUCUCUGUUCAGCCCCAGUGCAGAGUGACACAGACAGGCGACAGCGUCGCUGAGCACUAACUUCUAUUCCACGGAGGCAGACAGCGAAAACCAUUUCAGAACCACGGCAAGGCAUGAGAGAAGCACAGGGGUAAAGUUAGUGAGAAGGAGCACAAAGUACAUGCAGUCUUAUUGUCUACCUGGCAUGGUGCAGAGGGCAGAAAGAAGACAAAGAACGAAGAUAAAAGAAGCCUUUUUCCUCAAGAAGAUUGUAAUCUAGUGGUGGAGCUGGAAAAUAAAGGAAAGCAGUGGCCAUGUAUGUCAUGAGGACAUUCCAGUAACCCUAUGUGGUAAAGAACCGAGUCAGCCUGCCAACAAAAACUGCCACUGAAAAACUGAGCCCUCCUGCUGACAGCCAUGUGAGAGGAACACCUGGGAAGUGGAUCCUCCAGGCCUGGUCAUACUUCAGAUGACUGCAGCCCAAGCCAACAUCUUGCUUGAGUGGAGCCUCAUGAGUGACUCAGUCAAAACCACACAGCUGAGAUAUUUCCAACCCACAGAUACUGAGAUAAUAAAUGUUUAUUGCUACUAGGUUUCCUUCCUUCCUUCCUUCCUUCCUUCCUUUCUUUUCUCUUCUCCUUCCUUCCUUCCUUUCUUUUCUCUUCUCCUUCCUUCCUUCCUUUCUUUUCUCUUCUCCUUCCUUCCUUCCUCCCUCCCUCUCCUCCUCCUCCUUCAUCUUCUUCCUCUUCUUCCUCUUCCCCUUCCCCUUCCUCUUCCUCCUUCUUUCUUUCUUACUUUCUUUCUCUUUCUUUCUUUCUUUCUCUAUGAAAAUAUCAGGUGUACUAUAUUUUACCUGCCUUCAUGUAUACUUGAAUAAUUCCAUAAUAAAACUUUUUAAAAUUCA
Molecule: long non-coding RNA, 953 nt
Organism: Pan troglodytes (chimpanzee)
Lineage: Eukaryota; Metazoa; Chordata; Mammalia; Primates; Hominidae
Exons: 4
Source: RefSeq, a predicted model, not a curated record